GACGAACGCUGGCGGCGUGCCUAAUACAUGCAAGUUGAGCGCUGAAGGUUGGUACUUGUACCAACUGGAUGAGCAGCGAACGGGUGAGUAACGCGUGGGGAAUCUGCCUUUGAGCGGGGGACAACAUUUGGAAACGAAUGCUAAUACCGCAUAAAAACUUUAAACACAAGUUUUAAGUUUGAAAGAUGCAAUUGCAUCACUCAAAGAUGAUCCCGCGUUGUAUUAGCUAGUUGGUGAGGUAAAGGCUCACCAAGGCGAUGAUACAUAGCCGACCUGAGAGGGUGAUCGGCCACAUUGGGACUGAGACACGGCCCAAACGCCUACGGGAGGCAGCAGUAGGGAAUCUUCGGCAAUGGACGAAAGUCUGACCGAGCAACGCCGCGUGAGUGAAGAAGGGUUUCGGUUCGUAAAACUCUGUUGGUAGAGAAGAACGUUGGUGAGAGUGGAAAGCUCAUCAAGUGACGGUAACUACCCAGAAAGGGACGGCUAACUACGUG
RNAcentral lists this ribosomal RNA (497 nucleotides) under uncultured bacterium. RNAcentral's name for it is "partial 16S ribosomal RNA". It matches the Rfam family "Bacterial small subunit ribosomal RNA", at positions 28 to 507 of the family's 1533-position model. The record is from RNAcentral.